GGACUACUAGGGUUUCUAAUCCUGUUUGCUCCCCACGCUUUCGCACCUCAGCGUCAGUACCGGGCCAGUGAGCCGCCUUCGCCACUGGUGUUCUUGCGAAUAUCUACGAAUUUCACCUCUACACUCGCAGUUCCACUCACCUCUCCCGGACUCAAGCUCUCCAGUAUCGAAGGCAGUUCUGGAGUUGAGCUCCAGGAUUUCACCCCCGACUUAGAAAGCCGCCUACGUGCGCUUUACGCCCAGUAAUUCCGAGCAACGCUAGCCCCCUUCGUAUUACCGCGGCUGCUGGCAC
Molecule: ribosomal RNA, 292 nt
Filed under: uncultured Alphaproteobacteria bacterium
Lineage: Bacteria; Pseudomonadati; Pseudomonadota; Alphaproteobacteria
Description: partial 16S ribosomal RNA
Source: RNAcentral